UACAGAGGUCUCAAGCGUUGUUCGGAUUCAUUGGGCGUAAGGGUGUGUAGGUGGCGCGCUAAGUCAGGUGUGAAAUUUCGGAGCUUAACUCCGAAACUGCAUUCGAUACUGGCGUGCUUGAGGACUGGAGAGGAGACUGGAAUUCAUGGUGUAGCAGUGAAAUGCGUAGAGAUCAUGAGGAAGACCAGUGGCGAAGGCGGGUCUCUGGACAGUUCCUGACACUGAGACACGAAGGCCAGGGGAGCAAACGGG
RNAcentral lists this ribosomal RNA (252 nucleotides) under uncultured bacterium. RNAcentral's name for it is "partial 16S ribosomal RNA". It matches the Rfam family "Bacterial small subunit ribosomal RNA", at positions 524 to 776 of the family's 1533-position model. The record is from RNAcentral.